Molecule: ribosomal RNA, 856 nt
Filed under: uncultured Actinomycetes bacterium
Lineage: Bacteria; Bacillati; Actinomycetota; Actinomycetes
Description: bacterial SSU rRNA
Rfam family: Bacterial small subunit ribosomal RNA
Source: RNAcentral
GGAACACGUGAAGAAUCUGCCUUCAACUUGGGAUAACUCCGGGAAACCGGGGCUAAUACCGGAUAUGAGCCUUGAUCGCAUGAUCGGGGCUGGAAAGUUUUUCGGUUGAAGAUGACUUCGCGGCCUAUCAGCUUGUUGGUGAGGUAAUGGCUCACCAAGGCGACGACGGGUAGCCGGCCUGAGAGGGCGACCGGCCACACUGGGACUGAGACACGGCCCAGACUCCUACGGGAGGCAGCAGUGGGGAAUAUUGGGCAAUGGAGGAAACUCUGACCCAGCGACGCCGCGUGAGGGAUGAAGGCCUUCGGGUUGUAAACCUCUUUCAGUAGGGAAGAAGCGAAAGUGACGGUACCUACAGAAGAAGCACCGGCUAACUAUGUGCCAGCAGCCGCGGCAAUACAUAGGGUGCAAGCGUUGUCCGGAAUUAUUGGGCGUAAAGAGCUCGUAGGUGGUUCGAUACGUCGGAUGUGAAAAUCAGGGGCUCAACCCCUGACCUGCAUCCGAUACGGUCGAGCUAGAGUUUGGUAGGGGAGACUGGAAUUCCUGGUGUAGCGGUGGAAUGCGCAGAUAUCAGGAGGAACACCGAUGGCGAAGGCAGGUCUCUGGGCCAAUACUGACACUGAGGAGCGAAAGCGUGGGGAGCGAACAGGAUUAGAUACCCUGGUAGUCCACGCCGUAAACGGUGGGCGCUAGUUGUGCGAACCUUCCACGGUUUGUGCGACGCAGCUAACGCAUUAAGCGCCCCGCCUGGGGAGUACGAUCGCAAGAUUAAAACUCAAAGGAAUUGACGGGGCCCCGCACAAGCAGCGGAGCAUGCGGCUUAAUUCGACGCAACGCGAAGAACUUACCAAGGCUU